UCUGUCUGCCGCAGACAUGAGAGGAUCAUGUUAAGUGUGUUCCGUAUGAGUGACUCUGUUUUCGGGAUAAAUAACUUGCUGAAGUCGACACGACACUGUUUCCCUGGAGGAGAAGAUGAGUGCGUGGGAAAUAAAAGCCGCGGGCCCGGUGUGGAGGAGUCGAGGCGGAGAAGACAGGCGCACAGUCCCUGAAUUAAGGAAGUUUCCGUCUCUUCACAGCUCUGAUGAAAAUGGCCGGCGGAGCGAGGCCUGAUUCCCGCACACAAUGACGCAGUCACUGCUCAUUACGCCGAGACUCGCUGAAAGUUCUCGCAGUGCGGGAAAACGACGCCAUUGUACCUGCCCUUACUAUGACUUACUAAGACCCACUAUGAGCCAGUAUGAAGGAGCUUCCGGUUCAUCCAUACAAACCUUGCAUCAGCAUUGAGGAGUUCAGGAGUCGGCAGAGAAGAAAGAGGGAGAGGCUGAUUGAAGCGGGACAGAUGACAUGGAUCCAUCCUUCCACAGCCAGGAGCUCACCGACCUGUGUGCCACACUUCAAAUAAGACUAGAGGCUACACUGGAUCUCACAGCUACACACCACAGACGUCUACACACCACAGACGUCUACACACCACAGACGUCUACACACCACAGAUGUCUACACACUGGGGCAGAUUCGGACAGAGUCCCACAAAGAACAUAUGACCCAGAGGCUGCAAAGAGACAUUUCAAGCGUCACCUGAUUAGCUUUUCGCUCGCUAGGCUAGUUGUGUUUGUACAAUAUUUGUGCUGUAUGUAAAUAAACCUUUGACUCAACAUAUACCUCGUUCAUGUUUUUUCUUCCCUGUACAAUAUGUUCACUUCAAGCAUCACAUGAAUGAAUGUUUAGUCUUAAUUAACUGCAUUGCUUUUGGUAAAGGCUUACUAAUACAUAAAGAUUUAUUAUAUAUAUAUAUUACUAGUAACAACUAUAUAUUAAUUUUUAUUAUUAAUAUUGUGUGGGAGGGGUUUACCCCACGUGUGUACUGCAAUGACCCAGGGUGACCAAUGGCAACACUUCUACCAGCCGAUCACGAGUGACUUUCCGGGUUGGUUUCCUCCAAUGGGGAAUCGAGAGAGGCUCAGCAGUGGCUUCGCCCUGAGUCAUAUGCUAAUUAGAUUACACCUGCUCUCCGCGGCGGCAGCUAGCUUCCCCCCCAGCUUCCACACACAUAGUCAGCAGGGACUCCCGAUACUAACUACUACCAAGUGUUUGCUUCUAACCUGUCGGUGUUUGAGUAACAGUGUCAUGAUAGCUGUGGAAUUAAAGUCGUGACAGCAUGUUUUUUCACAGUUACCACCGCAGUUAGCAUGGUGGCUAGGUCGCUAGCGCUGUUAUGAAAGUUCGUUAUAACCGUAUGUGAUUGUACACACAUGCCGUCAGGGCUCUAACCAGCCACCGUCAGCCGGACAACUCCGCUGGCUUAACACACUUGUCACAUUAAUCGUAGAAUUGUAGUUGUGUUUGGGUUUAUUGUGAUAUAGGAAAUGAAACAGGAAGUUUGAGGUCCGGAAAUGAUGUUAUUCCGAAAUACUGCCGUUAGCGGACCAAUCACAGCCAAGUGCUAUCCGUAGGCUCUCCGCCAUGCCGACGUGUAGUUAGAAAAAUCAGAGCUGCACGAAAAGCUCUCCGUGGAGCCGCGGAGAGGCACGGAGAGGGCGUUCCACGGCAAAGAAGGCGGUCCUAUCUGUCCGUGUCCGUCAAAACGGAGAAGCAUAAAUUGGCCUUUAGUCAGAACAACUAGGAGAAAACCCUGCAAGACACCUUCAGGACAACCUGAUGAAGGCUGGUACAAGCGCUUCAGUGGCAACUAUAAGACGUGCACUGAAUAAACAAGGACUUCCAAGACGCACUCAGCUCUUGACCUCAAGGAACAUCAAAAGUCUACUAGAAUAUGGCAGAAGGAAUUUGGAUAAGAAGAAUGAGUUUUGGGUGACAGUUCUAUGGAUUGAUGAAACCAAACUAGAACUCUUUGGACAUAUGGACCAGCGGUAUGUCUGGCAUGCAAAAGUCCAGGCUUAUGACAAUAAGGAUACCAUCCUCAAGGUCAAGCCUGACGGUGGGUCAUUGAUGAUGUUGGGUUGUUUUUCU
Long non-coding RNA from Pleuronectes platessa (European plaice), 2113 nucleotides. RefSeq lists it as uncharacterized. NCBI's taxonomy places the organism in Eukaryota, Metazoa, Chordata, Actinopteri, Pleuronectiformes, Pleuronectidae. The record is from RefSeq and is a predicted model, not a curated record. The transcript is spliced from 5 exons.